UUUAUGGGUAUGGGACAUUUAACAGCCUUGGCGGUUUCAAUGGGAUACCUUGACGAAGGUACCCGCGAGAAUGAUUUUGGCAGGAGCCAAGUUUUGAGAAAUUCACGAGCCAUAUUGAUUAUUUGGUUGAAAUGAAUAUUCGUGUUGUGAAAAAUUUGCUGAAAUGAACUAUUUUUAAUUGUCUCCCUUUACUCACCUUUAGAUAGUUUAGAUGGUGUCUGUUUACUCACUGGGAUUAUGUAAUCAUAAUCUCACCCCUCUUCCGAUCCCAUUUUUAGGCUCAGGACAGUUUGUUAAUAGUUGAUUAAGACGAGAAUUAAUCUCGGAGUUGCAUCCUAG
Molecule: long non-coding RNA, 339 nt
Filed under: Theobroma cacao (cacao)
Lineage: Eukaryota; Viridiplantae; Streptophyta; Magnoliopsida; Malvales; Malvaceae
Description: long non-coding RNA (TCAC_LNC002885)
Source: RNAcentral